GGAUCAAUAUUUCGGUCAUGCCGUUGGUAUGCACUGUUAUCAUUGAUUUCUCACCUUCUAAAGAACCGUAAUGCCAUUAAUUUGGUGUUACGUGGAAUUAGGACUGUUACCUUGAAAAAAUUAGAGUGUUUAAAGCAGGCUCACGCUUGAAUACAUUAGCAUGGAAUAAUGAAAUAGGACAUCCGAUUCUAUUUUGUUGGUUUCUAGGAUCGAUGUAAUGAUUAAUAGGGAUAGUUGGG
Molecule: ribosomal RNA, 239 nt
Filed under: Glomus sp.
Lineage: Eukaryota; Fungi; Glomeromycota; Glomeromycetes; Glomerales; Glomeraceae
Description: partial small subunit ribosomal RNA
Rfam family: Eukaryotic small subunit ribosomal RNA
Source: RNAcentral